Non-coding RNA from Stegodyphus mimosarum, 71 nucleotides. The record is from Rfam. Lineage: Eukaryota; Metazoa; Arthropoda; Arachnida; Araneae; Eresidae.
GCCUUCGUGAUGUAACGGUAGCACACUCGGCGCGAAUUCGAGAGGUCCAGGUUCGAGUCCCGGCGAUGGCA